GGCUGGAUAGCUCAGUUGGGUACAGCAUGGUGCUGAUAACACCAUGGUUGCAGGUGUGAUCCCCGUAUGGGACA
This is a non-coding RNA of Podarcis lilfordi (Lilford's wall lizard), 74 nucleotides long. NCBI's taxonomy places the organism in Eukaryota, Metazoa, Chordata, Lepidosauria, Squamata, Lacertidae. The record is from the annotation of a GenBank genome assembly.